This is a long non-coding RNA of Populus nigra (black poplar), 621 nucleotides long. RefSeq lists it as uncharacterized. The record is from RefSeq and is a predicted model, not a curated record. Lineage: Eukaryota; Viridiplantae; Streptophyta; Magnoliopsida; Malpighiales; Salicaceae. The transcript is spliced from 2 exons.
UCUCUUCUAAUUAAUCACUUCAAUUUUCCAUUCUUUUUUAGUUAUCACUCAAAUGUUUCCACUCCAAGAAAAAGGGGAACAGAAAAACAUGAAAUAAGAAUUUCAUUGUAAAAUGACAAGACAUGAUGGACGAUAUUAAGGCUUUAAUGAACACAUAAUUUAUCUUAGCAAACCUGUUUAGUUGGUUUGGGCAUGAAAAGUGAAUUUAAUCUCUAGUUUCGUAUGCUUGAUUACGGAGUAGACAGGUAGGAUCAGAUAAUUCUAUCUUUUUGUAGGCUUAAUCUAUCGCCUAUUUGAUAGCAAACCAGCUAAAGAAACCCUGUUUGGGAUGUGUAAUGUGCUCCUAUUUACUCUUAGCCAGCCAGGCUCCCCUGCCCACCCCCAAUAGUGACAUCAACCAAUGAUUUCUAUCAAUGAUUGCUGCAACAUCAGUUUUGAGUAUGGGGAUCCUCCAUGCUCAGAAUAAGGCGAGUGGAUGUCGGUUUUCUAUUAUUUGCAAACUAAAACCAGAGUCGUCCAUCUUUAAUUGCGAAGGAUACUAACAUUAAAGAUGAAAUGUUUCAAGUCUUUGUACAAUUUACAUACGCUUGUUCCUGUUAAUUGAUUUCUCCUUUUUGUUUU